AGCUCCAAUAGCGUAUAUUAAAGUUGUUGAGGUUAAAAAGCUCGUAGUUGAACCUUGGGCCUAGCCGACCGGUCCGCCUCACCGCGUGCACUGGUUCGGUUGGGUCUUUCCUUCUGGAGAACCUCAUGCCCUUUACUGGGUGUGUUGGGGAACCAGGACUUUUACUCUGAACAAAUUAGAUCGCUUAAAGAAGGCCUAUGCUCGAAUACAUUAGCAUGGAAUAAUAGAAUAGGAAGUGUGGUUCUAUUUUGUUGGUUUCUAGGACCGCCGUAAUGAUUAAUAGGGACAGUCGGGGGCAUCAGUAUUCAAUUGUCAGAGGUGAAAUUCUUGGAUUUAUGAAAGUCGAACAACUGCGAAAGCAUUUGCCAAGGAUGUUUUCA
This 380-nucleotide ribosomal RNA is filed under the name uncultured eukaryote. RNAcentral describes it as "SSU rRNA". It matches the Rfam family "Eukaryotic small subunit ribosomal RNA", at positions 587 to 972 of the family's 1831-position model. The record is from RNAcentral.